RNAcentral lists this long non-coding RNA (5784 nucleotides) under Homo sapiens (human). RNAcentral's name for it is "HSALNT0021446". Lineage: Eukaryota; Metazoa; Chordata; Mammalia; Primates; Hominidae. The record is from RNAcentral.
GGGAUGGCUCUUAGAGAUUGCUUGGUUCAAGUGGCAGAGCCUGUACCAAGACCAAAUCUUUGCUUUCAAUUUGGGGGUCUGUAUCUCAAAGCCUUUAAAAUGCUGAUGGAAGGAGUGGAGAUCCAGCGUUCAGGGUAGAAAAGAGGAAAAUCCAUGGAACCAUAAUCUAUGGAUGGCUUUAGGAAUGGGAUUGACUGCAAAGGAGCACAAGGGAACUUCCUGGGGUGAUGGAAAUGUUUUGUCUUGAUUGUGGUAAUGAUUACAUGACUAUGUUUGUCAAAAUUCCAGAACUUUAUACCUAAAAGGGUGAAUUUUACUGCAUGUAAAUUAUACCUAAACACAUGACUUUUUAAAAAGGCCUGAAAUCUUAACUACUCAGCUAAAAAUAAAAUAAAAUAAAAUAAACAAUUUAGGUGCAAAACAAGUUUUGUUUUUGGGACUGACAGAGGUCCAGUGAUUGUAUUUAUUUAUAAAGCUAAUAAUCCAAUCCAAUAUAUCAAUAUCAAUACUUUUAAAUAGGAUAUAAAAAGUUAUGAGAUUUUUUAAAAUAAGGAUUUAGACUGCAAAAUAUUAUGACUACAAUGUUCCUGAAGCAACACUAUCUUAAAAAAUAUCUCAAACAGAAAAUAACACUCUAAUGCUCUCAAUCAUUGCAAUAAUUGAAACUUCCAGAAUAUUACCAUAAUGCUGCUUAUAUUACAUACCCAAAGCCCUGUAUUUAAUAGUUAAAAACAAAGAAUUAUUUAAUACCAGCUAGCUUCAUUACUUGAUAGAUUAACUUGCUUGACAGAUCAACAUUACUUGAUAGAUUACUGGAUAGAUCAACUAGCUUCCUAAAACAUAACUGUAGCUCAGCUUCUAAAAAAGGUGAAAGAAAUUAUUAUAUUCAACUGAACUAGAUUUUAAAAAUAAAGACUAUCAAGAACAUAGGAAGAGGUAAUUAAAUGACGGGUCCUCUCUACUAAGGUUUCAAUAGAAGCAAAUACAUCCGAGAAACCAUUUACAAAGAACUCACCCUCAUAAUUGCCUUAGAGACCAAAGUCACAAUUUUAAGGCCAAGAUCUUUAGAAAUCAGAUAGGUCAGUGUGACGGUUAAUUCUGUGUCAAACUUGACUGGAUUAUGGGGUGCCCAGAUAUUUUGGUCAAACAUUAUUCUGGGGUUAUCUUUGUAAGGGUGUUUUGGAUGAGACUAACAUUUAAAUUGACAGACGAAAGCAGAGUGCCUUCUAUAAUGUAGGUGGGCUUUAUCCAAUCAUUUAAAGGCCUGAAUAGAAUGAAAAGUUUGACCCUCCCCAAAGUGAGUGAAUUCUUCCUACUUUUGAACUGUGACAUGGGCUUUUUCCUGCCUUUGGACUUGGACUAGAACUACACCAUCAGCUCUCCUAGGUCUCAAGCUUGCUUACUCACCUUGCAGAUCUUGGGACUUGCCAGCCUCCAUCACUGCAUAAGUCAAUUCCUUAUAAUAAAUCAUAUAUGUGCACACACAGGCAUGCCUCAGAGAUAUUGCAGGUUUGGUUCAAGACCACUGCAGUAAAGUAAAUAUCACAGUAAAGGGAUCCACACAAAUUUGUUGGUUUCUCAGUGCAUAUAUGUUAUGUUUACACUACACUGUAGUCUUAAGUGUGCAACAGCAUUAUGACUUUAAAAAAAGUACACACCUUCAUUUAAACAUAUUUUCUUGCUAAAAAAAUGCUGACAGACAUAAAGUGAGCACAUGCUGUUGGAAAAAACGGUACCAACGGUACCAAUUUGUAAAUAACACAUUAUCUGCAAAGUGCAAUAAAGUGAGACACAAUAAAAUGAGGUAUGCCUGUAUAUCCUAUUGGUACUGUUUCUCUGGAGAAUCCUAAUACAACCUGCUUUCAAAUCAAUUUAAGACCCUCCCCCCAUAAGCAUUACAUUGAGGAAAAUGUGGUUGCAACUUUGUCCUACAAAUUAGGACAAAGAGACCUUUGUUGCCAUAUAACAAUAUUAAAAAACCAGUAUGCCUACCUCUGGAUGUAUUUGCUACAAAUACCAGUAUUAGAUUGUAAUUGCCAAUCCUUUAAAACCAGUUUUAAGAUGGAUAUAAAGCCCUAAAAAUCUUGCAGCUUCCACAUGCACAUCUGAAAAACUUCCAAUUUACAAAGGACAUUGUGGUAUUUUUGGAAAACAAAGGAAAAUGACACAUACUAAUUUCUGUCAUUUAUUCACGUCAUAAUCCCCAAAGCUACCUUUAUUCCACGACUCUUUCCACCAUUUUCCUACAGUCAGCUUUUUUUAAGGCUAUAGCCUUUAAAAACUUGAAACAGAAAAUUUUAAGGAUGCAACCAUUAGAAAAUGUUCCCAUACUACCAUUUAACAUUCCCCAUUUAUCAUUAUGUUUACUAUCGUGUAAUUUCCAACAUAAUAUUAUGAGGUCAAAGGCUCUACGAACGCCGUUUUACAAUCUACCUAGGGAGGCAAUGGCUGUGAAACACACCACACCAAUGACAGGAAUGCGGGUCACUGUGACACAACGGAUCCCUCUGCAAAGUCAAAGCUAAGAGUUCACUUUACGCUGACGGAGCUUCUUUCCAGGACCCCCACCCCCACCCAAGGACAGGAGAGUGUCGAUUUCCCAAGGUGUCUGGCACUGCUUCUUGAAAACGCAGCUCUCAUCUGGUUCCUGGAAGGUCAUACUGGUUCGCGCAGGGCUCGGGACGGGGCGCUUGGCUUCUGAGGCACCCGCGCUGGCUCCUCACCCGGUGACCUUCAGGCCUCUGCGCUUGGCCUGACCCUAGAAGGGCCACCGCCCUUCACAGCGGGCGGGCACCGUCCCUCCCACGGCCCCGCCGACUGCUGACGCGGUGGCCCCAAGGGUCCAGGCCCGCACUUGCCCCACUCCCGCGGCGCCGUCCCCCAUAGUCGGUCCCCGAGGGCCGCGCCCAGCUCCUGCUCGGAUUUCAGCCCGCACCGCACCCCAGCCGCCAGGGAACCUUCCAGAACCCUGCCCCUCUGGCUUUCUCCCGAAAGCCCAGGGUCGCCGUCCAGGAAGAAACUUCGAUUCAUUUAUUGAGCGCCGACUGUGUCCAAGGCCGAGGGAGGGGCGGGGUUUCCACGCGGGGAGACCCCCUAGGUUCUCGCCUCGGUAAGCGCCCGCGUUCCAGCACCUCGAGUCGCCCGCGGGCCCCCACCCCUCGGGCCGGGCCCGGUCCUCGAGGAAAACCCACGGCGGGGCAGGAAGGAACGAGGAGAGCCACGCUCCUUGCCCGCCUCGUCCCCUCCACUCCCCUUCACCUCACGGGACCCCAGGGAAGCCGCCGGAGCUAAAAUUAGCAACCCGCGCAGCGCGCGCUCACGUGCGCGCGGCCCGGCGGGGGCGGGGAGCAAGGGGCGCGGUCCGGGUGAGUCACCGGCCCCGCCCCACUCGCCAAGAACGCGCUGACGUCAGCCGCUUCCCCGAAGGGUGACGUAAGCGCGCCACGGGGAGGCCGAGGCAGCUGAUAGAAUGUUCUGAGUUUCGAUGCCUUAAAGGGACCAGGCCUGGGAUCGUGAAACAUCUGGGGAAACGACUCCACUCACUCACCUGCAGACUGAGAGCCCAUCUUGUACCGUGUUAUACUUUAAGAGAGUUGACUGUUGAGAUGAUGAUGAAAACGGAAGAACAACUGAGCCUAGUUGGAGGCUCUUUGAAGUCCCAGAACCUCCUCCUGGAAGCCCUCUUUGGUUAACCAGAUGGACAUCUCAGUUGCCCUCUGAGCCUGAACCAAGUGUCAGGAAGAGUUUUCUAUGGCCCUUGACUCCUUAACUCUUUGCUUAUAGCGUCUCUGCUCUCUGAUGCCUCUGCUGUCAGAGAAAGGCUGUGGUUUAAAUAUUUAUUUAUGAAUCCAUCAGCUUGGGCCAACUAGGUCCAUUUAUCACCGUUUUGACUGUGUCUAAACUGUCAUUAGUGGUGUGACUAGAAACCAGUUAAUUUCGCUGGGUGGUAAAUUCGUGGACUGAUCUCCAAACCCUCCUACUGUGCUAAUGUUGCCAAUGGAAGUUUCCAGAGGCCAGGAUCCCUGGCCAACACGUGAUCGUAAACAACAUCAGGGCCUCACAGGGAACUCACAAUUUACUGAGGUUUGCUCUGUGCCAGGUGUUUUCAUGAUCCUCCAUCCCCUUGUCGUUUAGUCCUCUUCUCUGAGUCCUCCCCAUUUUACUGAUGAGGACGGAAAUCGAGGCACACGAUUAAGCGUUUCCCUGGGUCACACAGCUAAUGAAUGGCGAGCUGGAAGUCAGUCCCAGGUCAUCAGACUCCGAAGUCCAUGGUUUUGGUGAUGAAGGUGGGCUGUGAAAUGUGUGUCUUAUUCUAUGCAUGUGAGUCCGCUGGAACCAACUUUUCCACUUGGAACACAAUCUCAGUGCCUUUCAGCAGGUAACCGGCGCCAGACCAGAUCUCCAGAGAUGGAGGUGGUCGGCCUCAGGGCCCAGCCAUGAGAAGGUGUAUGAGGAGGCAUCGCAUCAGGCGCCCACCCUGUGCUUGCAGGGCCUGACCAUGAGCGCCGCCUUCAGUUUUACACCUUAGGCACCCCACUUGGCUCCCCUUCGUCCCAGCCCUGCCAGACCCACCCUUGACUCUGUGUUUCCUUUCUGGAAACUCGAGAGGCCAUUUCUACUUAAAGAGUCCUCACCUGGCCUACCAGCGACCAGAUCUGCCCAAGUGCAGAAGAAACACUUGGUUAUCUCCUCUUUCAUCGUCCCCGCUCGAGCAUAAAACAACAGAAAGUUUCCUAUCGGAACAGCAUGCUUGUGCCAAAAACAAAUUAGAAACAACAACAACUUCUCAAAAUUUUGAGCAAAAUGAUGGUGACCGUGUUCUGGAAAUGGAGCAAAGUUUCCUAGUGCCUGUGACCAAACACCUUGUGUGUGCUCCCCAGGAGAGAAAACCGCUAGCAGCCUCAGUUGUGGAGCCUGGGGAAUUCAAGAUCAAGGUGCUAGCAGAUUAGUGUCUGGUGAGGACCGGCUCCCUGGGUUGCACACCUGCCUUCUUGCUGUGUCCUCACGUGGCCUUUCCUUGGUGGUGUGCCUGUGAAGAGAGAGAGAGCUCUCCUGUCUUUUCCUCUUCUUCUAAGGGCACUAAUUCCAUCAUGAGGGCACCAUCCUCAUGACCUAAUCCAAACCUAAUGAUCUCUCAAAGGCUGCACCUCCAAAUACCAUUAUACUUCGGGUUAGGGCUUCAACAUACAAUUUUGGAGGAGACACAAACAUUCAUCCCAUUUAUUUGGUGCUCAAUAAAUAUUGGAUGUAUGAAUGGAUGGAAUAAAAAAAGAUAAACCUGUGUGGUAAUUGGAUAGAAAACACAUGGACAUACAGUCAUAUGCCACAUGACGUUUCAGUCAAUAAUGAACCGCGGAUAUGAGAGGAGUCCCAAAAGAUAUAAUGGGCCAGGAGCUGUGGCUCACACCUGUAAUCCCAGCACUUUGGGAGGCCAAGGCAGGCAGAUUAGUUGUGGUCAGGAGUUCAAGACCAGCCUGGCCAACAUGGUGAAACCUUGUCUCUACUAAAAAUACAAAAAUUAGCUGGUCACAGUGGCACAUGCCUGUAAUCUCUGCUACUUGGGAGGCUGAGGCAGGAGAAUAGCUUGAACCCAGGAGGCGGAGGUUGCGGUGAGCUGAGAUCGCACCAUUGCACUCCAGCCUCGGCGACAAGAGUGAGACUCUGUAUCCAAACAACAACAAAAAUCAAAAAAACAAACAAAAAGAUAUAAUGGAGCUCAAAUAAUCCUGUCAUCUAGUGAUAUAGUUGUCAUAACAUAGUAGUAAAACAUAUUAACUUUUUUUU